Molecule: non-coding RNA, 74 nt
Organism: Podarcis lilfordi (Lilford's wall lizard)
Lineage: Eukaryota; Metazoa; Chordata; Lepidosauria; Squamata; Lacertidae
Source: the annotation of a GenBank genome assembly
UGCCUUGCCUUCGCCCCGCCCCCUACACACAGCCGACUGGCUAGCUGGGUUGGGGGUGGGGCGAAGGCAAGGCC